GCAGACGUCUGUUUCGAUGUAUAAAUGCAUUCAAGCCUCGGGAAAUUAAGUUUCAUCUUCAUUUUAUUCUUUCUAUGUACCAGGUACCGAUCUCCUUGACCAAAGGGAGCUAUGUUUACUCGAAAAUCCAGCUUUGUGUUGGUGCUGGCCUACGCUUUACCAUUGCUUGCAUCCCCCGUCGCUGAAAUCUUCAGCGUUUCUCAUGCCGACUGGCGAGCUCUCAAUGUAAGUGUUGAGGGCCGUCUCGGUGUGUUACAGCCCCUUGCGGAACCUUGUUACUUCAGGUAUGAGCCAGCGAUCGUGCCACUCCUCCGUACUCCGGACCAAGGAGUUUGCAAGAUCGCGCAGGACAACCGACGCAAUGUCGAUUUUAUCACCUCGCAGCCCGCAGGAUAUCACAAUCCAUACCACGGAACAUGCAUGACUUCUGGACAUGGGUGUCCACUCACCAAAUUGUUGGUGAAUGAUGCCACCUGCUAUCAAGGCAACGUACCGGACUAUUACAUUGAUGUGCGCAAAGUUUCGGAUAUCCAGGCUGGAUUGAAGUUCGCUGAAAAACAUAAUAUCCCUUUGGUGGUCAAGAAUACCGGUCACGACUUCAAGGGCCGCAGCGCAGGCGCUCACAGCUUGGCUCUCUGGACACACAACCUCCAACCCCCU
This 660-nucleotide small RNA is filed under the name Histoplasma capsulatum var. duboisii H88. RNAcentral describes it as "Histoplasma capsulatum H88 hypothetical RNA". Lineage: Eukaryota; Fungi; Ascomycota; Eurotiomycetes; Onygenales; Ajellomycetaceae. The record is from RNAcentral.